GUGACAGAAGAGAGUGAGCACAUAUGGCGUUUUCUUGCAUGAUAUAUAUACACAUCCAUGCUUGAAGCUAUACGUGCUCACUUCUCUAUCUGUCAC
RNAcentral lists this microRNA precursor (96 nucleotides) under Nicotiana sylvestris (wood tobacco). Its description in RNAcentral is "mir-156 microRNA precursor family". It matches the Rfam family "mir-156 microRNA precursor family". From Rfam's summary of the family: This family represents the plant microRNA (miRNA) precursor mir-156. Animal miRNAs are transcribed as ~70nt precursors and subsequently processed by the Dicer enzyme to give a ~22nt product. The record is from Rfam by way of RNAcentral. Lineage: Eukaryota; Viridiplantae; Streptophyta; Magnoliopsida; Solanales; Solanaceae. RNAcentral also lists the same sequence under 1 other name.